UCCGUAGGUGAACCUGCGGAAGGNUCAUUAUUAUGCGCACUAUGCGCGCUGGCGGGCUGGUUUUGUGGAGAUCGAGAACUCCCUCACAGGAUGAGCUCUCUCCUCGACCAGCCCUGACCAAUAUACCCAUGAUUUUUGCGUACCUAUUGUUUCCUCGGCAGGCUUGCCUGCCAGUAGGACCCUUUUAAAACCCAUUGCAGUUGCAGUCAGCGUCAGAUAAACUUUUAAUAGUUACAACUUUCAACAACGGAUCUCUUGGUUCUGGCAUCGAUGAAGAACGCAGCGAAAUGCGAUAAGUAGUGUGAAUUGCAGAAUUCAGUGAAUCAUCGAAUCUUUGAACGCACAUUGCGCCCCUUGGUAUUCCAUGGGGCAUGCCUGUUCGAGCGUCAUUUGUACAUUCAAGCUCUGCUUGGUGUUGGGUGUUUGUCCUGCCUUUUUGCGCAUGGACUCGCCUUAAAUCAAUUGGCAGUCGGCAAUCUGGCGUUAGAGCGCAGCACAUUUUGCGCUCUUCACCGUGUAUUGCGGCGUCCAUGAAGCCUAUAUUCUAGCGCUUGACCUCGGAUCAGGUAGGGAUACCCGCUGAACUUAAGCAUAUCAAUAAGCGGAGGA
This 609-nucleotide ribosomal RNA is filed under the name uncultured Ascomycota. RNAcentral's name for it is "eukaryotic LSU rRNA". The stretch from base 236 to 389 matches the Rfam family "5.8S ribosomal RNA". The record is from RNAcentral. Lineage: Eukaryota; Fungi; Ascomycota.